Molecule: long non-coding RNA, 411 nt
Organism: Phascolarctos cinereus (koala)
Lineage: Eukaryota; Metazoa; Chordata; Mammalia; Diprotodontia; Phascolarctidae
Source: RefSeq, a predicted model, not a curated record
GUACACAGAAGACAGAGAGAAAGCACUCAGAGAACCUAUUUCUUGAGAUAACUGAGUUUAAUCAAUACCUUUUGAAGUAUCAUGAUGAGAAUUAUUAAGAAGGGAUUUUAAUUGGUAUCCUGAAGAAAUGAACAGUAACACUGCAUUUCCAAAUCUUCUCCUCUUGUUCAUCAAAAGGGGUAUGAUCAAUGUGGAUAUAUCAAAUCAAAUUAAGUCAUGAGGCCUUAUCCACCGGGAAUAUUCCACCUUCUUCCUUGCUAUGAUCUGUUUGAUGAGGUGGAGCCUUCAUAAUAAUUUGAUGGCCCCUGAGGGAAGUAACGUGCACAGCCUGGGAGCCAUUUUGGUGUGGGAGAAUUUGGAUGAAGAGCAGCAGAGCCAUGCAAGGAUGACAGCUAACCCAACUUUAUUACU